RNAcentral lists this ribosomal RNA (425 nucleotides) under Rupicapra pyrenaica parva. Its description in RNAcentral is "partial 12S ribosomal RNA". It matches the Rfam family "Bacterial small subunit ribosomal RNA", at positions 882 to 1486 of the family's 1533-position model. Lineage: Eukaryota; Metazoa; Chordata; Mammalia; Artiodactyla; Bovidae. The record is from RNAcentral.
ACCGGCAACAGCCCAAAACUCAAAGGACUUGGCGGUGCUUCACACCCUUCUAGAGGAGCCUGUUCUAUAAUCGAUAAACCCCGAUAAACCUCACCAAUCCUUGCUAAUACAGUCUAUAUACCGCCAUCUUCAGCAAACCCUAAAAAGGAACAAAAGUAAGCUCAAUCAUAGCACAUAAAGACGUUAGGUCAAGGUGUAACCUAUGGAGUGGGAAGAAAUGGGCUACAUUUUCUGUUUCAAGAAAAUUUAAUACGAAAGCUAUUAUGAAACUAAUAGCCAAAGGAGGAUUUAGCAGUAAACUGAGAAUAGAGUGCUUAGUUGAAUCAGGCCAUGAAGCACGCACACACCGCCCGUCACCCUCCUCAAGCAAAUACAGGACACUUAAAACCUAUUUAAACACACCAGUCACACAAGAGGAGACAAGU